RNAcentral lists this ribosomal RNA (483 nucleotides) under uncultured bacterium. RNAcentral describes it as "partial 16S ribosomal RNA". It matches the Rfam family "Bacterial small subunit ribosomal RNA", at positions 28 to 523 of the family's 1533-position model. The record is from RNAcentral.
GACGAACGCUGGCGGCGUGCUUAACACAUGCAAGUCGAACGAUGAAGCCGGAGCUUGCUCCGGUGGAUUAGUGGCGAACGUGUGAGUAACACGUGAGCAAUCUGCCCUUGACUCUGGGAUAACUGCGGGAAACUGUAGCUAAUACCGGAUACGACACCUUGGGGCAUCCCAGGGUGUGGAAAGAAUUUCGGUCAAGGAUGAGCUCGCGGCCUAUCAGCUAGUUGGUGAGGUAAUGGCUCACCAAGGCGACGACGGGUAGCCGGCCUGCGAGGGUGACCCGCCACACUGGAACGGAGACACCGGCCAGACACCUACGGGAGGCAGCUGUGGGGAAUAUUGCACAAUGGGCGAAAGCCUGAUGCAACAACGCCGCGUGAGGGAUGAAGGCCCUCGGGUUGUAAACCUCUUUUCGCAGGGAAGAAGCUAAAGUGACGGUACCUGCAGAAAAAGCACCGGCUAACUACGUGCCAGCCGCCGCCGUAA